RNAcentral lists this long non-coding RNA (496 nucleotides) under Mytilus galloprovincialis (Mediterranean mussel). Lineage: Eukaryota; Metazoa; Mollusca; Bivalvia; Mytilida; Mytilidae. The record is from RNAcentral.
CCCCAUACUUUGUAACUUGUAAAGCGAAUUCAUUUGGCAAGGCUUAAGCCAGAAGCCAUACGCUAGCAGUCAUUCUGCUAGCAGCCAGUAUGUGGAAGAGUAAUCUGUCCGUUCUCGACAUCGUCGGGUUCGGAGAGAGUUCUUCUAAAAAUCCUUCACUUUUUAAAUUAUUCUGAAUGAAUGAGUAAUCCAAGAAAAGAAGUGCGGGCGUGUGUAUUUUUACUAUGGAUUAAAUUAUCAGUGUCCCAACUAGUUGUUCUAAUCCAGGCAUGGUCAUCUUUAUUCAUUCUACAGAAAGCUGUCAUUGACGCAGAUGUAUAAGAUCCAGAAUCCACUUCUCUCUCUCCAGUAGAGCUUAUAACGUUCUCUUCAACUACUAACUCGGUUAAUAUGUAGGCACUAUUUACUGUGGAAACUGUCCAUGAAAACAUAUAAAUCCCAUCUCUGGGAGCUACAAAUAUUCCAUCAUUAUUGUUGUAAUGGCCGCCUUCGUUGA